UACGGGGGGGCAAGCGUUGUUCGGAAUUACUGGGCGUAAAGGGUUCGUAGGUGGCCGACUAAGUCAGACGUGAAAUCCCUCAGCUUAACUGGGGAACUGCGUCUGAUACUGGUUGGCUUGAGGACAGGAGAGGAACGCGGAAUUCCAGGUGUAGCGGUGAAAUGCGUAGAUAUCUGGAGGAACACCGGUGGCGAAGGCGGCGUUCUGGACUGUUUCUGACACUGAGGAACGAAAGCCAGGGGAGCAAACGGGAUUAGAUACCCCGGUAGUCCUGGCCCUAAACGAUGAAUGCUUGGUGUGAUGGGUAUCGAUCCCUGUCGUGCCGCAGUUAACGCGUUAAGCAUUCCGCCUGGGGAGUACGGUCGCAAGGCUGAA
Molecule: ribosomal RNA, 375 nt
Filed under: uncultured bacterium
Lineage: Bacteria
Description: bacterial SSU rRNA
Rfam family: Bacterial small subunit ribosomal RNA
Source: RNAcentral